This 77-nucleotide transfer RNA is filed under the name Frankiaceae bacterium. RNAcentral's name for it is "tRNA-Thr". It matches the Rfam family "tRNA". Rfam says of the family: Transfer RNA (tRNA) molecules are approximately 80 nucleotides in length. Their secondary structure includes four short double-helical elements and three loops (D, anti-codon, and T loops). The record is from RNAcentral. Lineage: Bacteria; Bacillati; Actinomycetota; Actinomycetes; Frankiales; Frankiaceae.
GCCGCCUUAGCUCAGCCGGCCAGAGCAUCCGCCUUGUAAGCGGAGGGUCGUCGGUUCGACUCCGACAGGCGGCUCCA